This 342-nucleotide ribosomal RNA is filed under the name Akamptogonus novarae. RNAcentral's name for it is "partial 12S ribosomal RNA". The record is from RNAcentral. Lineage: Eukaryota; Metazoa; Arthropoda; Diplopoda; Polydesmida; Paradoxosomatidae.
UUUUGUUAAGAAAAAGUUUAUCGUAGGAGUAAGAGUUGGAAUUAAAAUAGGUUGGCGGCGUGCUAUCUGAAUAGAGGAAUCUGAGCAGGAGUCGACAGCCCACGAGUAGCUUAUCUAGUUUUUAUGUUUGUAUAUCGCCGUUGUAAGUGGAUUCUUAAAGAAGAUUCUCUUAAAUUUAAAAAGAAAACUAUGACAGGUCAAGGUGCAGUUAUGACUAGGUUGUUUUGGAUUACAAUUUUAUAAAGAAACUACGGACUAGGAGUUUGGAAAGAGUCUUAGGAAGGUGGAUUUAUUAGUAAUAAGAUUUUUAGUGGGGUUUUAUGAAAAAGGAAUAGCACGUGU